AGUGAACGCUGGCGGUAGGCCUAACACAUGCAAGUCGAACGGCAGCACAGUAAGAGCUUGCUCUUACGGGUGGCGAGUGGCGGACGGGUGGGGAAUACAUCGGAAUCUACUUUUUCGUGGGGGAUAACGUAGGGAAACUUACGCUAAUACUGCAUACGACCUACGGGUGAAAGCAGGGGAUCUUCGGACCUUGCGCGAUUGAAUGAGCCGAUGUCGGAUUAGCUAGUUGGCGGGGUAAAGGCCCACCAAGGCGACGAUCCGUAGCUGGUCUGAGAGGAUGAUCAGCCACACUGGAACUGAGACACGGUCCAGACUCCUACGGGAGGCAGCAGUGGGGAAUAUUGGACAAUGGGCGCAAGCCUGAUCCAGCCAUACCGCGUGGGUGAAGAAGGCCUUCGGGUUGUAAAGCCCUUUUGUUGGGAAAGAAAAGCAGCAGGUUAAUACCCCGCUGUUCUGACGGUACCCAAAGAAUAAGCACCGGCUAACUUCGUG
This 492-nucleotide ribosomal RNA is filed under the name uncultured bacterium. Its description in RNAcentral is "partial 16S ribosomal RNA". It matches the Rfam family "Bacterial small subunit ribosomal RNA", at positions 29 to 507 of the family's 1533-position model. The record is from RNAcentral.